GGGGUUGUGGCUCAGCGGUAGAGUGCUCGCCUGGCAUGUGCGAGGCCCUGGGUUUGAUUCUCAACACCACA
Molecule: transfer RNA, 71 nt
Filed under: Marmota monax (woodchuck)
Lineage: Eukaryota; Metazoa; Chordata; Mammalia; Rodentia; Sciuridae
Description: tRNA.Ala
Source: RNAcentral